Molecule: ribosomal RNA, 740 nt
Filed under: Pseudarthrobacter sulfonivorans
Lineage: Bacteria; Bacillati; Actinomycetota; Actinomycetes; Micrococcales; Micrococcaceae
Description: bacterial SSU rRNA
Rfam family: Bacterial small subunit ribosomal RNA
Source: RNAcentral
AUGCAGCGACGCCGCGUGAGGGAUGACGGCCUUCGGGUUGUAAACCUCUUUCAGUAGGGAAGAAGCGAAAGUGACGGUACCUGCAGAAGAAGCGCCGGCUAACUACGUGCCAGCAGCCGCGGUAAUACGUAGGGCGCAAGCGUUAUCCGGAAUUAUUGGGCGUAAAGAGCUCGUAGGCGGUUUGUCGCGUCUGCCGUGAAAGUCCGGGGCUCAACUCCGGAUCUGCGGUGGGUACGGGCAGACUAGAGUGAUGUAGGGGAGACUGGAAUUCCUGGUGUAGCGGUGAAAUGCGCAGAUAUCAGGAGGAACACCGAUGGCGAAGGCAGGUCUCUGGGCAUUAACUGACGCUGAGGAGCGAAAGCAUGGGGAGCGAACAGGAUUAGAUACCCUGGUAGUCCAUGCCGUAAACGUUGGGCACUAGGUGUGGGGGACAUUCCACGUUUUCCGCGCCGUAGCUAACGCAUUAAGUGCCCCGCCUGGGGAGUACGGCCGCAAGGCUAAAACUCAAAGGAAUUGACGGGGGCCCGCACAAGCGGCGGAGCAUGCGGAUUAAUUCGAUGCAACGCGAAGAACCUUACCAAGGCUUGACAUGGACUGGAAAUACCUGGAAACAGGUGCCCCGCUUGCGGUCGGUUCACAGGUGGUGCAUGGUUGUCGUCAGCUCGUGUCGUGAGAUGUUGGGUUAAGUCCCGCAACGAGCGCAACCCUCGUUCUAUGUUGCCAGCGCGUGAUGGCGGGGA